This 373-nucleotide ribosomal RNA is filed under the name uncultured bacterium. RNAcentral describes it as "bacterial SSU rRNA". It matches the Rfam family "Bacterial small subunit ribosomal RNA", at positions 525 to 896 of the family's 1533-position model. The record is from RNAcentral.
ACGUAGGAGGCGAGCGUUAUCCGGAUUCACUGGGCGUAAAGCGCGUGCAGGCGGUUUGGUAAGUUGAUCGUGAAAGCUCCCGGCUCAACUGGGAGAGGUCGGUCAAUACUACCGAACUAGAGAGUAGAAGAGGAAGAUGGAAUUCCCGGUGUAGUGGUGAAAUGCGUAGAUAUCGGGAGGAACACCAGUGGCGAAGGCGAUCUUCUGGUCUAUUUCUGACGCUCAGACGCGACAGCUAGGGUAGUAAACGGGAUUAGAGACCCCGGUAAUCCUAGCCGUAAACGAUGUGAACUUGGCGUCGGUGGCUUAAACACCAUCGGUGCCGAAGCAAACGCGAUAAGUUCACCGCCUGGGGACUACGGCCGCAAGGUUA